UGGGGAAUAUUGCACAAUGGGCGCAAGCCUGAUGCAGCCAUGCCGCGUGUGUGAAGAAGGCCUUCGGGUUGUAAAGCACUUUCAGCGGGGAGGAAGGCGAUAAGGUUAAUAACCUUGUCGAUUGACGUUACCCGCAGAAGAAGCACCGGCUAACUCCGUGCCAGCAGCCGCGGUAAUACGGAGGGUGCAAGCGUUAAUCGGAAUUACUGGGCGUAAAGCGCACGCAGGCGGUCUGUCAAGUCGGAUGUGAAAUCCCCGGGCUCAACCUGGGAACUGCAUACGAAACUGGCAGGCUAGAGUCUUGUAGAGGGGGGUAGAAUUCCAGGUGUAGCGGUGAAAUGCGUAGAGAUCUGGAGGAAUACCGGUGGCGAAGGCGGCCCCCUGGACAAAGACUGACGCUCAGGUGCGAAAGCGUGGGGAGCAAACAGG
This 429-nucleotide ribosomal RNA is filed under the name Chloroflexota bacterium. RNAcentral describes it as "Chloroflexi bacterium partial 16S ribosomal RNA". It matches the Rfam family "Bacterial small subunit ribosomal RNA", at positions 355 to 776 of the family's 1533-position model. The record is from RNAcentral. Lineage: Bacteria; Bacillati; Chloroflexota.